UCUACUCCGAGGCAUGGGGCUCUUUCUGGAGUAUUCAGUACAUUUGUAGGGGGGACAAGUUCUUUGAAUUCACGUCAAGUGGAAAGAAGGGAACCCGGGUGGUGACAUUGCCUCUGUGAAUGCUGCGUAUUCGGAUCCGAGCCUUGGCAGCCUUACGGAUUUCGCCCAUCAUCUUCCCCUGAUCUUCAGCAGCUUCGAAUUCUCCAAGAGCUUCUGUGUCUAAGGUGACGGGGAGAAGGAAAAGAAUGAGCACACGCUGGUUCUAUGUGGGAAGGUUCACCAUGGAUUCCCCAGAACAUAGGAGGGAGCAGAGCAGGGACACCCUUCCCGCAGCGACCUCCCUGACGGCCAGCGCAGGCCAUCACCUAUCUUGCACAUCUGGAAGGAAGUCUUGCACAACCGGAGUGAAGUGUGGCAAUGUGAAACUGAAGAAAUAGACGGAACAGAACUAUGCUUUGUCGGGGAAGUCAAGGCCUAGCACCCCGAGUUUGGAGGAACUGACAGGCACACAUCAGGCAUUUUAGUGAAAUCUGCUUUUAUUGAAAAUUCUUCAGCGACUGCUCAGCCCAGCAUGGCUCCUAUCAGGACAUGUGGUACCCAGACUCCUUCCUCUCUUUGUCUCUUCUCACUCACAGACGUUUAGAGAAUUCUCAUUAAAAUUACUUAGAGCGAAACAGAGAGCCCGUGUUAUAAAAUAAACCUAGUUAAAUACACUUUGUUGUAUUGCCU
This 729-nucleotide long non-coding RNA is filed under the name Ursus maritimus (polar bear). RNAcentral describes it as "lncRNA (ENSUMAG00000012104.1)". Lineage: Eukaryota; Metazoa; Chordata; Mammalia; Carnivora; Ursidae. The record is from RNAcentral.